Long non-coding RNA from Heterocephalus glaber (naked mole-rat), 765 nucleotides. The record is from Ensembl. Lineage: Eukaryota; Metazoa; Chordata; Mammalia; Rodentia; Bathyergidae.
CUUUAUCACGGCCAGGCAUGGGUGGAAACCCAAGUUCUCCACUCAGCCUUCACGGUCCCCAGAGGAGUCCUCAUUAUUGCUAGCAGGGGUGGAGUUAGGGACGUCCACUGAGACCUCCCCGGAGUGGUGGGUCGGCGCCAUUACCAUUCCCCGCAUGACCCGGAUGAUGGCGGGGUGGAGGAGGAGUCAGGAGUGGUUGCCUGAUUAGUUCCGGAAACUGGCGGAAAUGCUGGCUGUCCGUGUAGCAUCGCCUGGCACUGCCUCUGAGGGGGAGGAAAAAAGGCUUUUGGAGUGGAACGCUGGAACAAUGAGCAAGAGGCUUCUCUGGCGAAGGUGAAGUCCCGAACCAGGCAGAGAGGCCUGGGGGACACACCCCUGCUGUGUCCGAGAACUUCGCCUUUUUACCGCUGCUUCACCAAAGCCAGUUGCUGCUUCUUGUUUCCACUGACCUUUGCCAGCAAAAUGAACACAGCUUGGGCCCCGUUUCCUCCCACUGCACACUUGUGAACGGAAGUCUCAGGUGCAUGAAUCUGCCUGGUGAGCUCAGCUGCUGUGUUUUGCCCUAACUUCAAAGACGGCCAGGGGAAAUGAGUUUUGUGAUUUCCACUCUAGGGAGGCAGGGGAAAUUUCAUGGUACCUCAAAGGUGUCCAGAUCGACGGACACCCACAAAACAUAACCCGUGUCCACACACUGGACACUGUCAAAGUGGCCACUGUGACUAAAGGCUUCAUAUGUUCUCAGAGACCAGCUGACUCACAGACUCA